Long non-coding RNA from Mus musculus (house mouse), 414 nucleotides. RefSeq annotates it as predicted gene, 51641. The record is from RefSeq and is a predicted model, not a curated record. Lineage: Eukaryota; Metazoa; Chordata; Mammalia; Rodentia; Muridae. The transcript is spliced from 3 exons.
GGAGACAAAACAGAAACUGUGAAGCAUGAAGUUUGACCAAGUAAAAGAGGUUUUAAAACUAAAACUGGCAAAACAAAUCUAUGCAGGAAAUUAAAGUGGUUCACUCAAAGAAAACUGAAGCCAACCGGACAGAUGAGCAGAGACAAAGGAAGACUACAACUGGGAAGGUGGUUGUUCCUUAACUAGGAAAACACAGGUAUUGAAGACAGAAUCCAGGGAUUAAUGCAUGCUGUGGAAUCACAUUAAUGAGACUCACAGGAGCCACUCACUCAUAGUUAUUUUCUUAAACAGUCAGAUAUAUACAUUGUCACAAAUGUAGUUUAUCUUCUGUUUUCAUAUGUCCCUUGGGCUAAACAAAUGUUUUCAAGUAAUUAAAAACAUCAUUUUAAUUCUAUGAUGUAUGAAGAUCUUGCA